UGCGUAGGUGGUGAGGUAAGUCGGAUGUGAAAUCUCGGAGCUCAACUCCGAAACUGCAUUGGAAACUACCUCGCUCGAGGAAUGGAGGGGGGACUGGAAUUCUCGGUGUAGCAGUGAAAUGCGUAGAUAUCGAGAGGAACACCAGUGGCGAAGGCGAGUCCCUGGACAUCUCCUGACACUGAGGCACGAAAGCUAGGGGAGUAAACA
RNAcentral lists this ribosomal RNA (207 nucleotides) under uncultured bacterium. Its description in RNAcentral is "partial 16S ribosomal RNA". It matches the Rfam family "Bacterial small subunit ribosomal RNA", at positions 568 to 774 of the family's 1533-position model. The record is from RNAcentral.